UCAUAUUUUUAUUUAGUGUCUAAUUUUAUUCUGUAAAUGUGAAAUUUUUGAAAUGGGCGACAAUUUACUAGUCGCUCUUGCUGCCCGACUUAAAAUGCCGAAAGUCCAACUGCCACACAGUUCCAACGGGAUCAUGUGCCAUGGGCCGACCGUCCGCGACGAGAGAAAAUAGUUAUCAUCCUAUUCUAUGGCGCAAUGCUGGCCCUAAUUGUCAAUAUUGUGGGCUGGAUGGCGUUCAUCUGUAUCUUUCUGCAUCCAGGCAUACAUGCUCCACAGCGAACCAAAGAGCCAGACAGCAACAAUAGGCAGGUUACAAUAAGCGCUUUGAGCCAUGCGACAAAUCCAAACACUUAGUCCACUUACCCGUCGAGCAGGACACUUUCCAGGUGGAGGCGCACAAAGGCGAUUAUCGAUUUUAACACACGCGUCACUGGGUUGCAUAGCGCCCGGUACGUGGAACAAAUGGGAAUGGCAAUUGGGAUCGAAUGGAAACGAACAUGGAAAUAAAAAACAACAAAGAGCGUGAAAGGAGCACUCAAAGACAGCAAAGCAAGACACAAAACCCGUAACUAACUUCUCUUAAACAACUGGAAUUUUCUUUCCCGUUUCGUUUCGUGUCGUUUUUACAAACUCGUAAAUAAUCGCAAUAA
Drosophila montana is the source of this 650-nucleotide long non-coding RNA. RefSeq lists it as uncharacterized. NCBI's taxonomy places the organism in Eukaryota, Metazoa, Arthropoda, Insecta, Diptera, Drosophilidae. The record is from RefSeq and is a predicted model, not a curated record. The transcript has 2 exons.